AAAAAUUUUUAUAGUUUUAUAAUUUUAUUUUAAAUUUAUUUUACAUACCAAUUUUAGUAUGAAAUUUUAUUUAUUUUAAUAAUAUAAAUAAUUUUGUAGUAAUUAACUUUAAAUUAUUUAAGAAAUUAAGAUUUAGUAAUUUAUAAAUAAAUAACUAAUUUUGUGCCAGCAGUUGCGGUUAUACAAAAAUUUAAUUAAAAUUUUUCAGUAUUAUUAAAAUAAAUAAAAAUAAAUUAAAAUAAAAAUUAAAUUAUUAAGUGAAAUUUUAAUUUAAUAAAAAUUUAUUUAUUUUUUAUGAUUUAAUAAAUUUAUAUAAAAACUAGGAUUAGAUACCCUAUUAUUAAAAUUUAAAAUUUUAUACUAAAAUAGUAAAUAAUUAUUUAUUGAAACUUAAAUAAUUUGGCGGUAUUUUAGUUCAUUUAGAGGAAUCUGUUUAAUAAUUGAUAAUCCCCGAUUAAAUUUACUUAAUUUAAAAUUUUAUAUAUCGUUGUUAAAAAAAUAUUUUUAAAUAAUAAAAAUAUUUUAAAAUUAAAAAUAAAAAUUAAUUCAGAUCAAGAUGUAGAUUAUAAUUAAGAAUAUAAUGGAUUACAAUAAAUUUAUUUAAAUGGAUUUUUUUUUUUUAAUAUAAAAAUGAAGGUGGAUUUAAAUGUAAUUUUAUUUAAUAUAAUAAAAUGAUUAAAAAUUAAAAUAUGUACAUAUUGCCCGUCGCUUUCAUUUUAAAAUUGGAAUAAGUCGUAACAAAGUAGAAGUACUGGAAAGUGUUUCUAGAAU
This 771-nucleotide non-coding RNA is filed under the name Cupido argiades. Lineage: Eukaryota; Metazoa; Arthropoda; Insecta; Lepidoptera; Lycaenidae. The record is from RNAcentral.